AUACAGAAGCCUCAAGCGUUACCCGGAUUCACUGGGCGUAAAGGGUGCGUAGGCGGUUAUAUUAGUCGGGUGUUAAAUCCUGAGGCUCAACCUCAGGCUCGCAUUCGAAACGGUAUAACUAGAAGAAGUGAGAGGUGAACAGAACUCAUGGUGUAGGGGUGAAAUCCGUUGAUAUCAUGGGGAAUACCAAAUGCGAAGGCAGUUCACUGGCACUUUCUUGACGCUGAGGAACGAAAGCGUGGGUAGCGAACGGGAUUAGAAACCCCAGUAGUCC
RNAcentral lists this ribosomal RNA (274 nucleotides) under uncultured bacterium. RNAcentral's name for it is "partial 16S ribosomal RNA". It matches the Rfam family "Bacterial small subunit ribosomal RNA", at positions 523 to 796 of the family's 1533-position model. The record is from RNAcentral.